Molecule: ribosomal RNA, 482 nt
Filed under: uncultured Haliscomenobacter sp.
Lineage: Bacteria; Pseudomonadati; Bacteroidota; Saprospiria; Saprospirales; Haliscomenobacteraceae
Description: bacterial SSU rRNA
Rfam family: Bacterial small subunit ribosomal RNA
Source: RNAcentral
AGAGUUUGAUCAUGGCUCAGGAUGAACGCUAGCUGGAGGCUUAAUACAUGCAAGUCGAGCGGGAUUGGUAGCAAUACCAUGAGAGCGGCGCACGGGUGAGUAACGCGUACACGACCUACCUCUGACAGGGGGAUAGCCCUGGGAAACUGGGAUUAAUACCGCAUAUUAUUCUGAUUAAUAAAGGAUUGGAAUGAAAGUUCAGGCGGUCAGAGAUGGGUGUGCGUCUGAUUAGCUAGUUGGUAGGGUAACGGCCUACCAAGGCGAUGAUCAGUAGGGGGCGUGAGAGCGUGAUCCCCCACACGGGUACUGAGACACGGACCCGACUCCUACGGGAGGCAGCAGUAAGGAAUAUUGGACAAUGGCCGCAAGGCUGAUCCAGCCAUCCAGCGUGCAGGAAGAAGGCUCUAUGGGUUGUAAACUGCUUUUAUCAGGGAAUAAACCUCUGGAUUCACUCCGGAGCUGAAGGUACCGAAGAAUAGCCC